Molecule: ribosomal RNA, 301 nt
Filed under: uncultured bacterium
Lineage: Bacteria
Description: partial 16S ribosomal RNA
Rfam family: Bacterial small subunit ribosomal RNA
Source: RNAcentral
CAGUAGCCGCGGUAAUACAGAGGAUGCAAGCGUUAUCCGGAAUGAUUGGGCGUAAAGCGUCUGUAGGUGGCUUUUCAAGUCCGCCGUCAAAUCCCAGGGCUCAACCCUGGACAGGCGGUGGAAACUACCAAGCUGGAGUACGGUAGGGGCAGAGGGAAUUUCCAGUGGAGCGGUGAAAUGCGUUGAGAUCGAAAAGAACACCAACAGCGAAAGCACUCCGCUGGGACAACACUGAUACUAAGAGACGAAAGCUAGGGGAGCAAAUGGGAUUAGAUACCCGCGUAGUCCCUGUCUCUUAUAC